RNAcentral lists this unclassified non-coding RNA (324 nucleotides) under soil metagenome. RNAcentral describes it as "partial contains 5.8S ribosomal RNA, internal transcribed spacer 2, and large subunit ribosomal RNA". The stretch from base 1 to 120 matches the Rfam family "5.8S ribosomal RNA", at positions 35 to 154 of the family's 154-position model. The record is from RNAcentral.
GAUGAAGAACGUAGCGAAAUGCGAUAAGUAAUGCGAAUUGCAGAAUUCAGUGAGUCAUCGAAUCUUUGAACGCACAUUGCGCCCUGUGGUAUUCCGCAGGGCAUGCCUGUUCGAGCGUCAUUUCAACCCUCAAGCCCCGCUUGGUGUUGGGCCCCGCCCGCUGUGGCCGGCCCUAAAGACAGUGGCGGCGCCGCCUGGCUCUCAGCGUAGUACAUCUCUCGCUCCAGGGUCCGGUGGCCGCCUGCCAGAACCCCCCAACUCUGUGGUUGACCUCGGAUCAGGUAGGGAUACCCGCUGAACUUAAGCAUAUCAAUAAGCGGAGGA